Molecule: ribosomal RNA, 301 nt
Filed under: uncultured bacterium
Lineage: Bacteria
Description: partial 16S ribosomal RNA
Rfam family: Bacterial small subunit ribosomal RNA
Source: RNAcentral
CAGUCGCCGCGGUAAUACGAAGGGGGCUAGCGUUGUUCGGAAUUACUGGGCGUAAAGCGCACGUAGGCGGACAUUUAAGUCAGGGGUGAAAUCCCGGGGCUCAACCCCGGAACUGCCUUUGAUACUGGGUGUCUAGAGUAUGGAAGAGGUGAGUGGAAUUCCGAGUGUAUAGGUGAAAUUCGUAGAUAUUCGGAGGAACACCAGUGGCGAAGGCGGCUCACUGGUCCAUUACUGACGCUGAGGUGCGAAAGCGUGGGGAGCAAACAGGAUUAGAUACCCGCGUAGUCCCUGUCUCUUAUAC